AAGAGGUUUCAGUAUGUACUGCAUGGCGAGAAGAGGUUUCAGUAUGUACUGCAUGGCGAGAAGAGGUUUCAGUAUGUACUGCAUGGCGAGAAGAGGUUUCAGUAUGUACUGUAUGGCGAGAAGAGGUUUCAGUAUGUACUGUAUGGCGAGAAGAGGUUUCAGUAUGUACUGCAUGGCGAGAAGAGGUUUCAGUAUGUACUGCAUGGCGAGAAGAGGUUUCAGUAUGUACUGCAUGGCGAGAAGAGGUUUCAGUAUGUACUGCAUGGUCAGAAGAGGUUUCAGUAUGUACUGUAUGGUGGUUUUGCAUUAGGUGGACGUGUGAGAUGUGAUAAAUGCCAAAAAUAACUUUAUAUAAACAUUAUACUCGUUUUAAGUUGCAAAAGUAGAUGAUAGAAUGGUUGUAACAGUUCCACAUGGUCAAAGCCUCUAUUGCCUACUGUAUACACUGACUUCCACUUUGACUUGCACGACCACUGCUUGUGUAACUGGCCUUCUAGAACUCUCCUCUGAGUGUUGCUCAAGUAAAACAGGGCUUC
Long non-coding RNA from Oncorhynchus keta (chum salmon), 536 nucleotides. RefSeq lists it as uncharacterized. The transcript has 3 exons. Lineage: Eukaryota; Metazoa; Chordata; Actinopteri; Salmoniformes; Salmonidae. The record is from RefSeq and is a predicted model, not a curated record.